AAAACUCGCAGAGCGGAUGAAUUUCCGCCAUUUUCCAAGGGAUUCUGAACUAUCAGCUCAUACAGAGGGUAGUGUCCUCUGUAGGCCGUGACGGUUUCGGGGCAUUAGAGUGCGAUGCCGGAGAGUAAGCACGAGAGUCGGCUUACACAUUCAAGGGAGGCAGCAGUCGCGAAAAUUAUCCAAUACUAACGCAGUGAGAUAGCGACAGCCAAUAAUAAGAGAUAAACUUUGUUUACCUCAUUUAAAAUGAAGUACCCCUAAACCCGGUACUGAGAAGCUAGUCGUGGGCAAGCCUGGUGCCAGCAGCCGCGGUAAUUCCAGCACGACGAGUGUAUGAUUAAAUUGUUGCAAUUAAAAUGCGCCUAGUUGUAUUUCGGGGUGACUAGUAUUUAUGCAGGAAACUGUUGUAGGUGCUGUUGCUCCUUCUUUCUGUAUAUGUGUCUCUUUGAGGCGUGUAUGCAGUUGUUUAUUAUGAAGAAAUCAGAGUGCUCAAGGCAGACUUUUGUCAUUGAAUGCUCCAGCAUGGAAUAAUACGCAGGUCAGAAAUCACUGUUUUGGUUCGGUGGUUUUUGACUAGGUUCAACAGGAACGGUUCGUGGUCUUAAGUAUUCUGGGGUUAGCGGUAAAAUGCAAUGAUCCUCAGAAGACUAACUGAAGCGAAGGCGUCUGACUAGUACGUUUCCUCUAAUAAAGCGCGAAGGUUUGGGGAGCGAAGAGGAUUAGAUACCCUUGUAGUCCAAACAUUAAACGAUGACGAUUCGGGAUGCGUAGAAGAAACUAAUUCUCUAUGCGCACCGUAAGAAAAAUCAAAAUAAGUCUUUGGGGGGAGUAUGGUCGCAAGGCUGAAACUUGAAAGAAUUGACGGAAGGGCACCACCAGGGGUGGAGUUUGCGGCUUAAUUUGACCCAACGCGGGAAAUCUCACAAGGGUAAGAGCCAAUAAGGAUUGACUGAUUGAAGCUCUUUCUUGAUUCUGGCAAAGGUGGUGCAUGGCCGUUCUUAGUUCGUGUUGUGAAAUGUCUACUUGAUUGUGAUAACGAGCGAGACCAUUAUGGAUCAAUACUCAAUUGUUGCCUGUGCAGCAGUGAGUUCUUAUCUAGACUAUCAGUGUAAGCUUAAGGAAGCAAGUGGCGAUAACAGGUCAGGAAUGCCCUUCGAUACCCUUGGCUGCACGCGUACUACAAUGCGACCUUCAACAAGCAUGUAUUGGUGCGAAGGCACUGAUUAAUCAUGAAAAGGUUGCGUGCUGGGGAUUGCCGAUUGCAAUUAUUCGGCACGAACGUGGAAUCCCUUGUAAGUGCAAGUCAUUAUCUUGUACUGAAUACGUCCCUGCCCUUUGUACACACCGCCCGUCGCUUCUACUGAUGAUGCGCAGGAUGAGAUUGUUGGAUCGGUACUGCUUU
Molecule: ribosomal RNA, 1402 nt
Filed under: metagenome
Description: bacterial SSU rRNA
Rfam family: Eukaryotic small subunit ribosomal RNA
Source: RNAcentral